CAUUUAAUUCACGUACAAUUCAAUGACAUCAAAUUCAAAACUAAUACGUAUUUACCAUUUAACUCAAUGUUUAUUGAUUAUACCAUUCAAUAACAUAUUUAUGAAAUUCUCAAUUUAGCAAUGAAAAUAUCACUUUAGUUUGAAUAACAACAUCGUCCUGAUAUAAAUACACUACCACUUAUCCAUUUACUUUAAUUCUUUUGGGCCCAUUUGUCACUUACCAUCUUUAAUCAAAUUAGGGAACGGUCACGGAAAAAUUGAGUACUUCACUUUCACUUUGCCAUAGUAUA
RNAcentral lists this long non-coding RNA (290 nucleotides) under Gossypium barbadense (sea-island cotton). RNAcentral describes it as "long non-coding RNA (GBAR_LNC002930)". The record is from RNAcentral. Lineage: Eukaryota; Viridiplantae; Streptophyta; Magnoliopsida; Malvales; Malvaceae.